CUGCCAGCCUCAUCAACGAAAGAAACAUAUGACUUGCUGUUUCUGAUGUAGCCAAUCCAACCUCGAUCCAUCUUAAGAACCAACAGUCUGUUUUGCUUCUCAGGUUGUCUUCUCCAGUCAAGUCCAACAUUGACAUUGUCAUUCCCAAAUCUGCCGAAAGCACAGUUACGUCUUUAUUUUAACUGCCUGCCCCUAGUCCACUAGCACCAUCAGUAAGGAAAUCAGCCAAAAUCCAUCUAACAAACUUGUUCUGGUUAGCUGGUGAUGACUAGGUUGAGGUUGAUGGAUGAGAAGUUGAGAGGCUCGGAAGAUCCUGCCAAUGUAAAGGUAUCAACAAAUUGGCCAGAAAGGCAAAUGUAUAGCAUUUCAAGCGGUGAUGUGAAGCAAAUCUACUUCACAAGCACAGCCCUUUGCUAUUAUAAAUCUGACCAGAGUUCUCUCAAGAACCUUACUUUUCGCAGCACAUGGCGAUGAAGAUGGCAACCUCUGGCAGCAAUAGCUCUAAUAUGAGCACCGCAAAAAGUAACGAUCAAGAACAGACCCUCUGCAGAUCCUUGGAGCUUUCCUUUAAUCGGUUUCAGCGUGAUCAAUCACCAGUGUCCCAAUUAGGAUGCAGCCAAAGCUGUUGUUUCUCGAAUCUGGGCAGAAGUUGUUUCUAUACUGCGGACAACAAGUCCAGCAAUAACACAUCUUCUUCUUCUGUUCCUACUGCAGUUACAUGUUCUAUCAGCCGUCCGCAAGUUGAUUUAGAUGCUUGUAACCUAUUUUCAUGUAAUUUCCAGCAGUCAAGAUCAAGAAAUUGCGAAUCAUUGGUUUAUGAUCAUUCAGAAAACCAACAAUGCCUUGCUCUUCAGUCCCCUGAUGAUCUUCAAUACCUAGUGAACUUUCACAUUUACAACAAACGGAAUGACCAAAGUUAUCAAUUGCCCCUGCCACAGAACUGCACUAAACCUGCCGUUUUAAGCAGCGGACAUCAGCAUAGUAAGAAAUAUCUCAAAUCCAAGGUAUGUAAUAUAACAUGGACAUCUCAAAUUUAUGUACACUUUCUUCGAAAGAGGGGUCUAUCACCUUCAUGCAAAUUUGUGUGUCAGUUAGAGAAGGGGUCCUCGGUUUCUAGAAAUGAAGCUGCAUUUGAUGCCAAUCCUUGUGGAAACUCCACUUCAUCAACUGCUGCUAUUUCUAAUAAAAGACGAAUUAAAUGGACUCCACAUCUUCACAACCGAUUUCUUGAAUGCGUUAAUCGUCUGGGAGGAGCUGAAAGAGCGAAACCAAAGUUGAUUCUGAAGCUAAUGGACGUCAAAGGGUUGACAAUCUUUCACAUUAAGAGUCACUUGCAGGUACUGCAACAUAAUGACUUUCUGUCUACUAGCCGAAAAUCAAUGCCCUUUCCUAACAUUUUUUUCCGGGAUAAAACCAAAACUUUAUUUGCCUAUUACAUCACAGAAAUGUCGCAUCACCAAGUACAUUGCAGAAUCUAGAGAAGGUAAUUCUCUGCCUCCACUACAAUGAGCAGGAACGAACAUACCUUGCAAUUGACAGGAGCUCUAUUAUUAUUGAAGACGGAUCGAUGCGUAACUAAUCUUUGGUUUUUGCUUGGCAAUGCAGUAAUUUCUUUUAUGUGCGUGAAUCAUAUUGUACAUGCAGGAAAAUCAGAGAACAAUUUUGACACAAUGCCAGAGCAUGACCUCAAUACGUAAGCUACGACUUGCUUGUUGUUUAUAAACUCUGGUAUAAAAACUUAAGAAGAGCACAAAACAAGCACUAGCUAUGAGAGGAGUGAAAGUUUCAAGUGUCGAAUGUCUGUCUUGGAGUAGGACGUCACGAUAUGAGUAAAAUAAGUGCAGUGAAUAUUUGUUGGCAACAGAGGCAAGCGGAUUUCAGAAGCUUAUCGCAGAACCUUGCAGAUGCAGCUGAAUGUACAAAAGCGACUACUUCAACAGUUGGAGAUGCAAAGAAGUUUACAGAUGAAGAUUGAAGAACAGGGAAGGCAGUUAAAACGCUUCUUAGAGCAGAGUCUUUACAACAAAAAUUCAGCACCCCAAUCAGAUCCUCCUGCAAUCCACAACUUCUAAUGUCUUAUUUGAAGUC
RNA transcript from Rhodamnia argentea, 2088 nucleotides. It is a transcript of the gene named myb family transcription factor PHL5-like, with no coding region annotated. The record is from RefSeq and is a predicted model, not a curated record. NCBI's taxonomy places the organism in Eukaryota, Viridiplantae, Streptophyta, Magnoliopsida, Myrtales, Myrtaceae. The transcript is spliced from 8 exons.